CGUGUAGGCGGUUUGGCAAGUCGAGUGUGAAAUCCCACGGCUCAACCGUGGAACUGCGCUCGAAACUGCCUUACUUGAGUGCGGGAGAGGUGUGCGGAAUUCCUGGUGUAGCGGUGGAAUGCGUAGAUAUCAGGAAGAACACCGGUGGCGAAGGCGGCACACUGGCCCAGCACUGGCGCUGAGGCGCGAAAGCGUGGGGAGCGAACG
This 207-nucleotide ribosomal RNA is filed under the name uncultured bacterium. RNAcentral describes it as "partial 16S ribosomal RNA". It matches the Rfam family "Bacterial small subunit ribosomal RNA", at positions 568 to 774 of the family's 1533-position model. The record is from RNAcentral.